UACGGAGGGAGCUAGCGUUAUUCGGAAUUACUGGGCGUAAAGCGCACGUAGGCGGCUUUGCAAGUCGGAUGUGAAAUCCCUCGGCUUAACCAAGGAAGUGCAUCCGAAACUGCAGAGCUUGAGUACUUAAGAGGAUCGCGGAAUUCCCGGUGUAGAGGUGAAAUUCGUAGAUAUCGGGAGGAACACCAGUGGCGAAGGCGGCGAUCUGGGAAGAUACUGACGCUGAGGUGCGAAAGCGUGGGGAGCAAACAGG
RNAcentral lists this ribosomal RNA (253 nucleotides) under uncultured bacterium. Its description in RNAcentral is "partial 16S ribosomal RNA". It matches the Rfam family "Bacterial small subunit ribosomal RNA", at positions 524 to 776 of the family's 1533-position model. The record is from RNAcentral.